GACAGAGGUGCCAAGCGUUAGGCGGAAUCACUGGGCUUAAAGCGUGUGUAGGCGGACUCGUAAGUACCUUGUGAAAUCCCACGGCUCAACCGUGGAACUGCUUGGUAUACUGCUUGUCUUGAGCCACUUAGGGGCUGUCGGAACAAACGGUGGAGCGGUGAAAUGCAUAGAUAUGAUAUAGAACACCAAUUGCGAAGGCAGCUUGCUAAACGAUCAUUGACGCUGAGGCACGAAAGCGUGGGGAUCAAACAGG
Molecule: ribosomal RNA, 253 nt
Filed under: uncultured bacterium
Lineage: Bacteria
Description: partial 16S ribosomal RNA
Rfam family: Bacterial small subunit ribosomal RNA
Source: RNAcentral